UGGAGUCCACCUGGGGUAAAUUCAGUUGACUGGACAUGAUUUGGAAAGGUACACACCUGUCUACAUAUAAGGUCCCACAGUUGACAGUACAUGUCAGAGCACAAACCAAGCAUGAAGUCAAGGGAAUUGUCUUUAGACCUCCAAGACACGAUUUGCUCGCAGCAGUAAUCUCA
Molecule: long non-coding RNA, 173 nt
Organism: Thalassophryne amazonica
Lineage: Eukaryota; Metazoa; Chordata; Actinopteri; Batrachoidiformes; Batrachoididae
Exons: 3
Source: RefSeq, a predicted model, not a curated record